UACGAAGGGGGCUAGCGUUGUUCGGAAUCACUGGGCGUAAAGGGUGCGCAGGCGGGUCAUUAAGUCAGGGGUUAAAUCCCGAGGCUCAACCUCGGAACGGCCUUUGAUACUGGUGAUCUUGAGUCCGGAAGAGGUGAGUGGAACUGCGAGUGUAGAGGUGAAAUUCGUAGAUAUUCGCAAGAACACCGGUGGCGAAGGCGGCUCACUGGUCCGGAACUGACGCUGAGGCACGACAGCGUGGGGAGCAAACAGG
RNAcentral lists this ribosomal RNA (253 nucleotides) under uncultured bacterium. RNAcentral's name for it is "partial 16S ribosomal RNA". It matches the Rfam family "Bacterial small subunit ribosomal RNA", at positions 524 to 776 of the family's 1533-position model. The record is from RNAcentral.